GACGAACGCUGGCGGCGUGCUUAACACAUGCAAGUCGAACGGAAAGGCCCUGCUUUUGUGGGGUGCUCGAGUGGCGAACGGGUGAGUAACACGUGAGUAACCUGCCCUUGACUUUGGGGUAACUUCAGGAAGCUGGGGCUAAUACCGGAUAGGAGCUCCUGCUGCAUGGUGGGGGUUGGAAAGUUUCGGCGGUUGGGGAUGGACUCGCGGCUUAUCAGCUUGUUGGUGGGGUAGUGGCUUACCAAGGCUUUGACGGGUAGCCGGCCUGAGAGGGUGACCGGCCACAUUGGGACUGAGAUACGGCCCAGACUCCUACGGGAGGCAGCAGUGGGGAAUAUUGCACAAUGGGCGGAAGCCUGAUGCAGCAACGCCGCGUGCGGGAUGACGGCCUUCGGGUUGUAAACCGCUUUCGCCUGUGACGAAGCGUGAGUGACGGUAAUGGGUAAAGAAGCACCGGCUAACUACGUG
This 468-nucleotide ribosomal RNA is filed under the name uncultured bacterium. RNAcentral's name for it is "partial 16S ribosomal RNA". It matches the Rfam family "Bacterial small subunit ribosomal RNA", at positions 28 to 507 of the family's 1533-position model. The record is from RNAcentral.